UGGUUUUACUUUUAUUAUGUAGGACUUUGUUUUAACAAGCAGAUUGCAUCAGGUUGCUGAUACAGUUGUGAACUUGGAAUCGUUUGUGGGCUCCAACAAAAAGUCAAAUCCUUUAUUCAAAGAUUUUGAUGGUCUACUUCACAUUGUAAAAUUGCCAGUUUUGAAUACAUUUAUGUAUAAUAAUCCAACUACUGAUCUUGCUUUCAAGCUAAAACGGAAAGGGUUCCUUAUAGAACGGAUGCAUUUACCUCCAGAUUUAGAAGAACAAUCUGGUGAACCAAGUGCUUUUGGCUGCAGUGGUGGUGGAAGUAAAUACGAGUUUUAAUGGAUAAGGGAUUAAAAGUUUGGAGUGAUUGUGCCGUUAAAAGAAACUUUCUCCAUAAUCAGCCUUUUACCAUCCAAUGUACGUUAAGUUUCCAUGGCAGCAGUUAUAGCCAUUUUACUAAACCAUAAGAAGACACGGAGCCUAGCAUAA
This is a long non-coding RNA of Uloborus diversus, 475 nucleotides long. RefSeq lists it as uncharacterized. The transcript is spliced from 4 exons. The record is from RefSeq and is a predicted model, not a curated record. NCBI's taxonomy places the organism in Eukaryota, Metazoa, Arthropoda, Arachnida, Araneae, Uloboridae.